GGGGAUGUAGCUCAAUGGUAGAAUGCUUGCCUGGCAUGUAUGAGGCCCUGGGUUUGAUUCCCAGCACCACAA
Molecule: transfer RNA, 72 nt
Filed under: Cricetulus griseus (Chinese hamster)
Lineage: Eukaryota; Metazoa; Chordata; Mammalia; Rodentia; Cricetidae
Rfam family: tRNA
About the family: Transfer RNA (tRNA) molecules are approximately 80 nucleotides in length.
Source: Rfam by way of RNAcentral